UACGUAGGGUGCAAGCGUUAAUCGGAAUUACUGGGCGUAAAGCGUGCGCAGGCGGUUCGUUGUGUCGGCGGUGAAAGCCCCGGGCUUAACCUGGGAACGGCCGUUGAAACUGGCGAACUGGAGUGUGGCAGAGGGGGGUGGAAUUCCGCGUGUAGCAGUGAAAUGCGUAGAGAUGCGGAGGAACACCGAUGGCGAAGGCAGCCCCCUGGGCUAACACUGACGCUCAGGCACGAAAGCGUGGGGAGCAAACAGG
This 253-nucleotide ribosomal RNA is filed under the name uncultured bacterium. Its description in RNAcentral is "partial 16S ribosomal RNA". It matches the Rfam family "Bacterial small subunit ribosomal RNA", at positions 524 to 776 of the family's 1533-position model. The record is from RNAcentral.